GAAAGCCUGACGGAGCAACGCCGCGUGCGGGAGGACGGCCUGUGGGUUGUAAACCGCUUUUCUCAGGGGAGAUGAUGACGGUACCUGAGGAAUCAGCAUCGGCUAACUCCGUGCCAGCAGCCGCGGUAAUACGGAGGAUGCAAGCGUUAUCCGGAAUUAUUGGGCGUAAAGCGUCCGCAGGUGGUUAUGCAAGUCUGCUGUUAAAGAGUGGGGCUUAACUCCAUAAGGGCAGUGGAAACUGUGUGACUAGAGUGUGGUAGGGGCAGAGGGAAUUCCCAGUGUAGCGGUGAAAUGCGUAGAUAUUGGGAAGAACACCAGUGGCGAAGG
This 327-nucleotide ribosomal RNA is filed under the name uncultured cyanobacterium. RNAcentral describes it as "bacterial SSU rRNA". It matches the Rfam family "Bacterial small subunit ribosomal RNA", at positions 377 to 721 of the family's 1533-position model. Lineage: Bacteria; Bacillati; Cyanobacteriota. The record is from RNAcentral.